UCUCAGCCAGCCAUCCAGUGUCUCUACAAGAUGAAGGCCGUCUUUGUGGCGUUGGUGAUUUCAUGUCUUGUGGUUUGCAGUCUCGGGGAUGAUGGAGCUGCUGAGUUUGUUGUUCGUCAAGCAAACCAAGUACAAGAUCGAUGCAGGUGCUGGCUCCGUGGUACGCCGCCAUGCCCAGGUGCCAUAUACAUACCAACUUCUGCUUUCUUUUCUAUGGUUUUUCAGGCUUAACUGUUUUAUUUUUGUUUCAUGUUUCUGUCAGGACCACCCCCACCAGG
Molecule: long non-coding RNA, 278 nt
Organism: Selaginella moellendorffii
Lineage: Eukaryota; Viridiplantae; Streptophyta; Lycopodiopsida; Selaginellales; Selaginellaceae
Exons: 4
Source: RefSeq, a predicted model, not a curated record